Molecule: ribosomal RNA, 465 nt
Filed under: Sphenopholis intermedia
Lineage: Eukaryota; Viridiplantae; Streptophyta; Magnoliopsida; Poales; Poaceae
Description: eukaryotic LSU rRNA
Rfam family: 5.8S ribosomal RNA (bases 143-298)
Source: RNAcentral
UUGACAACCUCCUCUCCUCGGAGCGGGGGCUCGGGGUAAAAGAACCCACGGCGCCGAAGGCGUCAAGGAACACUGUGCCUAGCUCGGGGAUGCGGCUGGCUUGCCGGCCGCACCCCUUGCUGCAAUGCUAUUUAAUCCACACGACUCUCGGCAACGGAUAUCUCGGCUCUCGCAUCGAUGAAGAACGUAGCGAAAUGCGAUACCUGGUGUGAAUUGCAGAAUCCCGCGAACCAUCGAGUCUUUGAACGCAAGUUGCGCCCGAGGCCAUCCGGCCGAGGGCACGCCUGCCUGGGCGUCACGCUAAACACGCUCCCACCCCCCUCAUCGGGGAGCGGGAUGCGGCAUGUGGCCUCCCGUCUCGCAAGGGGCGGUGGGCCGAAGAUAUGGCUGCCGGCGUAUCGUGCCGGACACAGCGCGUGGUGGGCGUCCUCGCUUUACUUACCGCAGGGCAUCCGGGNCGUAUGC